This is a long non-coding RNA of Herpailurus yagouaroundi (jaguarundi), 601 nucleotides long. RefSeq lists it as uncharacterized. NCBI's taxonomy places the organism in Eukaryota, Metazoa, Chordata, Mammalia, Carnivora, Felidae. The record is from RefSeq and is a predicted model, not a curated record. The transcript has 2 exons.
ACAGCUUUAUGGGAGUAUAAUUUAUGUCCCAUAGCAUUCACCCAUUGUAAGUAGAUAAUUCAAAAAUUUUUGUGAAUGUAUAUAGCAAUGUAACCUUUACCUUAUUUCAGUUUUAGAACAUUUCCAUCACCCCUGAAAUUUCUCUUGUGCACUUUAUAUAGGCCUUCCUGCUUCUACUUUCAGCUCCCAGCAACCAUCGAUUUGCAUUUUCUCUCUACACAUUUUUUUUUUUUUUCUGGACAUUUCAUGUGGGAAGCAGAGAGCAAUUUGAUAAAGAAAAGGAGAAGGCAAUGUGAUGCAGGAUAAGAAGAGAAAAGAUUAUGUGAUGCAGGGCCAUGAGCCAAGGAAUGAGGACAACAUCCUUCCUGGAAAAGACAAAGAAACAGAUUCUCCCCUGGAGCCUCCAGAAGGAGCCAGCCCAGAUGACCCUUUGAUUUUAGCUCACUGAGACUGAUUUCACAUUUCUGACCUCCAGAACUCUAAAAGAAUCAAUUUGUGUACCAAUCCGUCUCCCCGUCUUGUUAGUUUGUGCGAGACCAUCUUUCCAAGACUCUGUUGUGUCCUCUGUAAAAUGGGAAUAAUAAAAUACCUAUUUCACAGA